AAUAAGUACAGUUUUAUAUUAUUUACGUUAAAUGUUUGAUCGUUCGUCUUAUUUUAAAUUAUUUUAUGAUUAUUACUUUUAUUGUUACUAGAUGAUAAAACAUGAAUAAUACUUUAUGUGUGAUUUUUUAAAUUUUUUUAAAUAAGACGGAUGAAUAAAUGUUAGACAUAUAGUAGUUCGUACUCAUA
Oryza sativa Indica Group (long-grained rice) is the source of this 188-nucleotide microRNA precursor. It matches the Rfam family "MIR812 microRNA precursor family". The record is from Rfam. NCBI's taxonomy places the organism in Eukaryota, Viridiplantae, Streptophyta, Magnoliopsida, Poales, Poaceae.